This 430-nucleotide ribosomal RNA is filed under the name bacterium. RNAcentral describes it as "partial 16S ribosomal RNA". It matches the Rfam family "Bacterial small subunit ribosomal RNA", at positions 355 to 776 of the family's 1533-position model. The record is from RNAcentral.
UGGGGAAUAUUGGACAAUGGGCGCAAGCCUGAUCCAGCCAUGCCGCGUGUUUGAAGAAGGCCUUUUGGUUGUAAAGCACUUUAAGCGAGGAGGAGGCUACUUGGAUUAAUACUCUAGGAUAGUGGACGUUACUCGCAGAAUAAGCACCGGCUAACUCUGUGCCAGCAGCCGCGGUAAUACAGAGGGUGCGAGCGUUAAUCGGAUUUACUGGGCGUAAAGCGUGCGUAGGCGGCUUUUUAAGUCGGAUGUGAAAUCCCUGGGCUUAACUUAGGAAUUGCAUUCGAUACUGGGAAGCUAGAGUAUGGGAGAGGAUGGUAGAAUUCCAGGUGUAGCGGUGAAAUGCGUAGAGAUCUGGAGGAAUACCGAUGGCGAAGGCAGCCAUCUGGCCUAAUACUGACGCUGAGGUACGAAAGCAUGGGGAGCAAACAGG